This 497-nucleotide ribosomal RNA is filed under the name uncultured bacterium. Its description in RNAcentral is "partial 16S ribosomal RNA". It matches the Rfam family "Bacterial small subunit ribosomal RNA", at positions 28 to 507 of the family's 1533-position model. The record is from RNAcentral.
GAUGAACGCUGGCGGCGUGCCUAAUACAUGCAAGUCGAGCGAGCAGACGAGGAGCUUGCUCCUUUGACGUUAGCGGCGGACGGGUGAGUAACACGUAGGUAACCUACCUAUAAGACUGGGAUAACUUCGGGAAACCGGAGCUAAUACCGGAUAAUAUUUCGAACCGCAUGGUUCGAUAGUGAAAGAUGGCUUUGCUAUCACUUAUAGAUGGACCUGCGCCGUAUUAGCUAGUUGGUAAGGUAACGGCUUACCAAGGCAACGAUACGUAGCCGACCUGAGAGGGUGAUCGGCCACACUGGAACUGAGACACGGUCCAGACUCCUACGGGAGGCAGCAGUAGGGAAUCUUCCGCAAAGGGCGAAAGCCUGACGGAGCAACGCCGCGUGAGUGAUGAAGGUCUUCGGAUCGUAAAACUCUGUUAUUAGGGAAGAACAAACGUGUAAGUAACUGUGCACGUCUUGACGGUACCUAAUCAGAAAGCCACGGCUAACUACGUG